UACGGGGGGGGGCAAGCGUUGUUCGGAUUUACUGGGCGUAAAGGGCUCGUAGGCGGCCACCUAAGUCGGUUGUGAAAUCCCACGGCUCAACCGUGGAACUGCGACCGAUACUGGGUGGCUUGAAGCCGGGAGAGGGAUGCGGAAUUUCAGGUGUAGCGGUGAAAUGCGUAGAUAUCUGAAGGAACACCCGUGGCGAAGGCGGCAUCCUGGACCGGUCUUGACGCUGAGGAGCGAAAGCUAGGGGAGCGAA
This 250-nucleotide ribosomal RNA is filed under the name uncultured bacterium. RNAcentral's name for it is "partial 16S ribosomal RNA". It matches the Rfam family "Bacterial small subunit ribosomal RNA", at positions 524 to 772 of the family's 1533-position model. The record is from RNAcentral.